GAUGAACGCUGGCGGCGUGCCUAAUACAUGAAAGUCGAGCGAACGGACGAGAAGCUUGCUUCUCUGAUGUUAGCGGCGGACGGGUGAGUAACACGUGGAUAACCUACCUAUAAGACUGGGAUAACUUCGGGAAACCGGAGCUAAUACCGGAUAAUAUUUUGAACCGCAUGGUUCAAAAGUGAAAGACGGUCUUGCUGUCACUUAUAGAUGGAUCCGCGCUGCAUUAGCUAGUUGGUAAGGUAACGGCUUACCAAGGCAACGAUGCAUAGCCGACCUGAGAGGGUGAUCGGCCACACUGGAACUGAGGCACGGUCCAGACUCCUACGGGAGGCAGCAGUAGGGAAUCUUCCGCAAAGGGCGAAAGCCUGACGGAGCAACGCCGCGUGAGUGAUGAAGGUCUUCGGAUCGUAAAACUCUGUUAUUAGGGAAGAACAUAUGUGUAAGUAACUGUGCACAUCUUGACGGUACCUAAUCAGAAAGCCACGGCUAACUACGUG
This 497-nucleotide ribosomal RNA is filed under the name uncultured bacterium. RNAcentral describes it as "partial 16S ribosomal RNA". It matches the Rfam family "Bacterial small subunit ribosomal RNA", at positions 28 to 507 of the family's 1533-position model. The record is from RNAcentral.